CAAUAGCGUAUAUUAAAGUUGUUGCAGUUAAAAAGCUCGUAGUUGGAUUUCUGGUUGAAGCGACCGGUCGGGCGUUGAUUCGUCUGCACUGGAGUCGGUUUUGGCCAUCCUCUAGGAAAGUGCGUCUGGUAUUCAGUUAUCGGGCGUAUGAUCCUGGUCUUUUACUGUGAAAAAAUUAGAGUGUUUAAAGCAGGCCUUCGCCUUGAAUACAUUAGCAUGGAAUAAUAAGAUAGGACUUUGGUCUAUUUUGUUGGUUUGCAGACCGAAGUAAUGAUUAAUAGGGAUAGUUGGGGGUAUUUAUAUUCCGAUGUCAGAGGUGAAAUUCUUAGAUUUUCGGAAGAUAAACUUAUGCGAAAGCAUUUACCAAGGAUGUUUUCAUUAA
RNAcentral lists this ribosomal RNA (382 nucleotides) under uncultured eukaryote. RNAcentral describes it as "partial 18S ribosomal RNA". It matches the Rfam family "Eukaryotic small subunit ribosomal RNA", at positions 592 to 976 of the family's 1831-position model. The record is from RNAcentral.